This 842-nucleotide ribosomal RNA is filed under the name uncultured bacterium. RNAcentral's name for it is "bacterial SSU rRNA". It matches the Rfam family "Bacterial small subunit ribosomal RNA", at positions 28 to 896 of the family's 1533-position model. The record is from RNAcentral.
GACGAACGCUUGCGGCGUGCCUAAGAAAUGCAAGUCGAGNGGGGAGCAAUCCCAGCGGCGAACGGUCGCGUAACACGUAAGCAACCUGCCCGAAAGACCGGGAUAACGUUUCGAAAGAGGCGCUAAUACCGGAUGUGACCACUUUGAGACAUCUCUUUGUGAUUAAAUCAUUUAUGGCUUUCGGAGGGGCUUGCGGCCUAUCAGCUAGAUGGCGGGGUAACGGCUCACCAUGGCGUCGACGGGUAGCUGGUCUGAGAGGAUGGUCAGCCGGACUGGGACUGAGAUACGGCCCAGACUCCUACGGGGGGCAGCAAUUAGGAAUCUUGCGCAAUGGGCGAAAGCCUGACGCAGCGACGCCGCGUGGAGGAGGAAGGCCUUCGGGUUGUAAACUCCUUUUAGGUGGGAAGAACACAAUGACGGUACCACCUGAAUAAGCCCCGGCUAACUCCGUGCCAGCAGCCGCGGUAAUACAGAGACUGCGAGCGUUAUUCGGAUUCACUGGGCGUAAAGGGUGCGCAGGCGGCCAAAUGUGUUAGGCGUGAAAGCCCGAGGCUUAACCUCGGAAUUGCACCUAAAACUAUUUGGCUAGAGUACUGGAGAGGGAAACGGAAUUCAUGGUGUAGCAGUGAAAUGCGUUGAUAUCAUGAGGAACACCAGAGGCGAAGGCGGUUUCCUGGACAGUUACUGACGCUCAGGCACGAAAGCGUGGGGAGCAAAAGGGAUUAGAUACCCCUGUAGUCCACGCCCUAAACGGUGCACACUAGGUCUUGGCGGAUUCGACCCCACCAGGGCCCAAGCUAACGCGUUAAGUGUGCCGCCUGAGGACUACGGCCGCAAGGCUA